GGAUAACCUGCCCUAUGCUCCGGAAUAACCUCGGGAAACUGAGAAUAAUACCGGAUAGAUCACAACGCCUGGAACGGUGUGUGGUUCAAAGGUCACGGCAUAGGAUGGGUCUGCGGCGUAUCAGGUCGUAGGGGGUGUAACGGACCUCCUAGCCAUCGACGCGUACGGGUGUUGGGAGACAUAGCCCGGAGAUGGAUUCUGAGACACGAAUCCAGACCCUACGGGGUGCAGCAGGCGCGAAAACUUCACACUGCAGGAAACUGUGAUGAGGGAACUCCAAGUGCGCGCACUUAGUGUGCGCUUUUCUUGACUAUUAAUCGGUCAUGGAAUAAGGGCUGGGAAAGACCGGUGCCAGCCGCCGCGGUAAUACCGGCAGCUCAAGUGGUCGUCGCUUUUAUUGGGCCUAAAACGUCCGUAGCCUGUUUGGUAAAUCUGUGGGUAAAUCAACCAGCUUAACUGGUUGAAUUCUGCAGAGACUGCCAGACUAGGGACCGGGAGAGGUGUGGGGUACUCUAGGGGUAGGGGUAAAAUCCUGUCAUCCUUAGAGGACCACCAGUUGCGAAGGCGCCACACUGGAACGGAUCCGACGGUCAGGGGCGAAGCCUAGGGGCACGAACCGGAUUAGAUACCCGGGUAGUCCUAGGUGUAAACGCUGUGAACUUGGUGUCGGGAGUCCGCAAUGGGCCCCCGGUGCCGGAGUGAAGAUGUUAAGUUCACUGCCUGGGGAGUACGGUCGCAAGGCUGAAACUU
RNAcentral lists this ribosomal RNA (750 nucleotides) under uncultured Candidatus Poseidoniales archaeon. RNAcentral describes it as "bacterial SSU rRNA". It matches the Rfam family "Archaeal small subunit ribosomal RNA", at positions 102 to 857 of the family's 1478-position model. The record is from RNAcentral. Lineage: Archaea; Methanobacteriati; Thermoplasmatota; Candidatus Poseidoniia; Candidatus Poseidoniales.